UACUUUUACCCUUUCGGAAGCCAU
This 24-nucleotide non-coding RNA is filed under the name Drosophila melanogaster (fruit fly). Lineage: Eukaryota; Metazoa; Arthropoda; Insecta; Diptera; Drosophilidae. The record is from RNAcentral.